RNAcentral lists this small RNA (101 nucleotides) under Rhodoferax ferrireducens. Its description in RNAcentral is "Guanidine-I sequence". It matches the Rfam family "Guanidine-I riboswitch aptamer". Rfam says of the family: This family represents a conserved RNA structure found upstream of the ykkC and yxkD genes in Bacillus subtilis and related genes in other bacteria. The record is from RNAcentral. Lineage: Bacteria; Pseudomonadati; Pseudomonadota; Betaproteobacteria; Burkholderiales; Comamonadaceae.
UCAACAGACGGCUAGGGUUCCGGCCUGUGCAAGCAGGUGACUGGUCCGAGAGCUGUCGACCUCCUUGUGAGGUUACACGGCGGGACAAAAGCCCGGGAGAA